This is a non-coding RNA of Pelobates cultripes (western spadefoot toad), 260 nucleotides long. NCBI's taxonomy places the organism in Eukaryota, Metazoa, Chordata, Amphibia, Anura, Pelobatidae. The record is from the annotation of a GenBank genome assembly.
CACCAUUUCUUUUUGCUCAUAUGGUUUUUUAAGUAUACUUGCUUUUAGCGGUUUCCAUUCUUUUUGCCUCACAGGAUGACUUCCAGUAAUGUAGAGAGAUUUUUUAUUUUUUUCCCCAGUAUUGCAGCGUAUUUUCUCUGGGUAGAUCUAUGCUGUCCCUUCUGUUUUUAAUAACUUUCCAUAUGCGGACCUGCAGCCUUCGGUCUUCUGUAUCCUUCAGCCAGGACUCCUGCCUUCUCCACGUUCCCCUCUGCUUGGAC